GGAGCACUGAAAAAAUGUCAAUUAGCUAUAAAAGUUCCACAAACAAGCAUUAUGUCUUCCUCUUACGAGUCCCUGGGUGCAGCUCAAAAUUGAGCAAUAAUGUCCACAGUUAAAAAUGGCUGUUGGGGGCCCCAGCACUCUCUUUUCCCAUUAAUAAUUGCUUGGCGCGGGUGCUGGCGUCACUGCAUGUGCCCGGUGGAGCCCAGGCAACCGAAGGGUGUGUCAGCUAAGAAGAGCGACAGCUCCCAUCACAAUCACGGCGCGGAGGAGUGACCCCGAGUCCCUCCAUGCUCAUCCCGCGUGGCAAGUUAAUCCUCGGGGGAAUGGGGACUUGAGCCACGUCUCGUCUGACGGCCGGUUAGUCUUGCAGCUGUGCAAGCGCCGGCCGCCGCUUCCUGCCCACGUCUCAGAAUCACAUCAGGAUUGCUCUGGCUCCGAGGGAGAAUAAGGGAACAGUCCGCCUUCUGGUGUCACUCUCUGUGAUUGUCCAGGCGCCAGCCCACAUGGCCUUUAUUUAUAGAAUGCAUGCUGUCCUCUAGGCUAGAAGGCAAAGCAAGUCUCUUCCACAAGUGAAACCAGGCACGUGGGGCCAGUGGAUGUGGCCUGUCUUGACAUGUGAAGUGUACUGAAACCUUAUUUAUGAAAACAGGCAGCUGGCCCAAGCGCUGUGGUUUGUCAGUUUGAUUUUUUUUUUUAAUGUUGCAUUACAAUAUUAUUUAUCUUGACUAUUGAGGUUUUUGACACCCCCUUAAAUCUUGUGCCUGCGGUCAGUGACUUACUCUCUUCACCCCACUCCCAGCUCUGCCUUUUAGCCAGAGAACAAGUGGAUGUGGGUCCUGCUACAAGAGCUUGCCUGUGUGUUUCGAGGAAAGGACUAUCCCGUUUAGCAGAGUUGGGGAAGAAAAAUCCAACAGUGCUGUGCAUGGAAGUGGCAUCUGGAAAGAGCACGAGGACAGAGCCUGGUUUCAAUUCUUGCUCUGUGGCUGUGUGACCUUCAGCAAAUCAUCCAACUUCUCUGAGCCUCAGGCUUUUCAUCUACAAAGCUGAAAUAAUAAUAUCAACCUUGGAGUAUGGCUGUGAAGAUUAAAUGAGAUAUGUAUAUCAAGUGGCUGGCACUUGAUAAAUGGCGCUUUGCCAAAUGUUUGCAGAGCGAAUAAUCAAUGCCAAAAAUGUUGGUCGAAGGACGGGAGGAUUUUAUAUGGUCAGAUUGCCUUCAGCUGGACCUUUUUUGUCAUUUCAUAUUCUACAUCAACUUUUCAUGAUUUCUGCCUACGUUUAUGUUCUAUGCUAGACCCAAGGACAGAGGAUGAUCUGACCGCUUCCCAGGACGCUCGAGUCACCCAAGUGAUCCAGUUGGCUCACCUGCUGCUGAAAUGAAAAACAAUUUUCCCGGAGAGCAACCUGGGCAGGUGACCUUACAGCACCAGAGCCACUGCGCUGAUCACCGUCCACUGAAAUCAUUGGCUGAGAUGUAAGGACGCCCUGCUUUGUCCACAAAGCCUUUUCAGAGCACAAUGUGGUCCUGUAUCCAAUUUCCCCUGGGCUCUCAGGAAGCACUGGCUCGUAAAGGGCCUUUGGUUUGUGAUUUCUUAAGAGAAUCUCCUUUGAAGCCAAAGAUAUGUCUGUUUUGGUUGAGUCCAGAUUCUCUCUGAGGAAUAAAAAGACCAGCACAUA
Long non-coding RNA from Felis catus (domestic cat), 1674 nucleotides. RefSeq lists it as uncharacterized. NCBI's taxonomy places the organism in Eukaryota, Metazoa, Chordata, Mammalia, Carnivora, Felidae. The record is from RefSeq and is a predicted model, not a curated record. The transcript is spliced from 2 exons.